GGGGCUACACAUGCAAGUCGAACGGUAACAGGAAGCAGCUUGCUGCUUCGCUGACGAGUGGCGGACGGGUGAGUAAUGUCUGGGAAACUGCCUGAUGGAGGGGGAUAACUACUGGAAACGGUAGCUAAUACCGCAUAACGUCGCAAGACCAAAGAGGGGGACCUUCGGGCCUCUUGCCAUCGGAUGUGCCCAGAUGGGAUUAGCUAGUAGGUGGGGUAACGGCUCACCUAGGCGACGAUCCCUAGCUGGUCUGAGAGGAUGACCAGCCACACUGGAACUGAGACACGGUCCAGACUCCUACGGGAGGCAGCAGUGGGGAAUAUUGCACAAUGGGCGCAAGCCUGAUGCAGCCAUGCCGCGUGUAUGAAGAAGGCCUUCGGGUUGUAAAGUACUUUCAGCGGGGAGGAAGGCGAUAAGGUUAAUAACCUUGUCGAUUGACGUUACCCGCAGAAGAAGCACCGGCUAACUCCGUGCCAGCAGCCGCGGUAAUACGGAGGGUGCAAGCGUUAAUCGGAAUUACUGGGCGUAAAGCGCACGCAGGCGGCCUGUCAAGUCGGAUGUGAAAUCCCCGGGCUCAACCUGGGAACUGCAUUCCAAACUGGCAGGCUAGAGUCUUGUAUAGGGGGGUAGAAUUCCCCGU
RNAcentral lists this ribosomal RNA (640 nucleotides) under uncultured bacterium. RNAcentral describes it as "bacterial SSU rRNA". It matches the Rfam family "Bacterial small subunit ribosomal RNA", at positions 45 to 674 of the family's 1533-position model. The record is from RNAcentral.